This is a non-coding RNA of Thamnophis sirtalis, 262 nucleotides long. The record is from RefSeq and is a predicted model, not a curated record. NCBI's taxonomy places the organism in Eukaryota, Metazoa, Chordata, Lepidosauria, Squamata, Natricidae.
UCUUACAGCAUCAGGAUAGUUAUGAAAGUAUAUAAAGCCCAUCCCAACCUGCAGAUUUCCAUGUAUCACCGUUGGAAGCAUUCCCCACGAGUGACUAGUUUCUUACAAAUAUGUGGCAUUGUGGCUUCUUGGUCUCUGCUGGCUUUCUUGCUUGGAGGCUCUUAUAGUUGUCGUGGGCAACAGCUCAUCCACUAGAAAUGCUUGGUUUCUUUUCCCCUCAAUGUAAGCUGCACAAUUAUAGAUUAAAACACAUUGCAAUGAU